This 467-nucleotide ribosomal RNA is filed under the name uncultured bacterium. RNAcentral describes it as "partial 16S ribosomal RNA". It matches the Rfam family "Bacterial small subunit ribosomal RNA", at positions 28 to 507 of the family's 1533-position model. The record is from RNAcentral.
GACGAACACUGGCGGCGUGCUUAACACAUGCAAGUCGAACGGAAAGGCCCUGCUUUUGUGGGGUGCUCGAGUGGCGAACGGGUGAGUAACACGUGAGUAACCUGCCCUUGACUUUGGGAUAACUUCAGGAAACUGGGGCUAAUACCGGAUAGGAGCUCCUGCUGCAUGGUGGGGGUUGGAAAGUUUCGGCGGUUGGGGAUGGACUCGCGGCUUAUCAGCUUGUUGGUGGGGUAGUGGCUUACCAAGGCUUUGACGGGUAGCCGGCCUGAGAGGGUGACCGGCCACAUUGGGACUGAGAUACGGCCCAGACUCCUACGGGAGGCAGCAGUGGGAAUAUUGCACAAUGGGCGGAAGCCUGAUGCAGCAACGCCGCGUGCGGGAUGACGGCCUUCGGGUUGUAAACCGCUUUCGCCUGUGACGAAGCGUGAGUGACGGUAAUGGGUAAAGAAGCACCGGCUAACUACGUG